GACGAACGCUGGCGGCGUGCCUAAUACAUGCAAGUUGAGCGCUGAAGGUUGGUACUUGUACCAACGGGAUGAGCAGCGAACGGGUGAGUAACGCGUGGGGAAUCUGCCUUUGAGCGGGGGACAACAUUUGGAAACGAAUGCUAAUACCGCAUAAAAACUUUAAACACAAGUUUUAAGUUUGAAAGAUGCAAUUGCAUCACUCAAAGAUGAUCCCGCGUUGUAUUAGCUAGUUGGUGAGGUAAAGGCUCACCAAGGCGAUGAUACAUAGCCGACCUGAGAGGGUGAUCGGCCACAUUGGGACUGAGACACGGCCCAAACUCCUACGGGAGGCAGCAGUAGGGAAUCUUCGGCAAUGGACGAAAGUCUGACCGAGCAACGCCGCGUGAGUGAAGAAGGUUUUCGGAUCGUAAAACUCUGUUGGUAGAGAAGAACGUUGGUGAGAGUGGAAAGCUCAUCAAGUGACGGUAACUACCCAGAAAGGGACGGCUAACUACGUG
RNAcentral lists this ribosomal RNA (497 nucleotides) under uncultured bacterium. RNAcentral's name for it is "partial 16S ribosomal RNA". It matches the Rfam family "Bacterial small subunit ribosomal RNA", at positions 28 to 507 of the family's 1533-position model. The record is from RNAcentral.